RNAcentral lists this ribosomal RNA (764 nucleotides) under uncultured bacterium. RNAcentral's name for it is "bacterial SSU rRNA". It matches the Rfam family "Bacterial small subunit ribosomal RNA", at positions 568 to 1330 of the family's 1533-position model. The record is from RNAcentral.
AGCGCAGGCGGUUUCUUAAGUCUGAUGUGAAAGCCCCCGGCUCAACCGGGGAGGGUCAUUGGAAACUGGGAGACUUGAGUGCAGAAGAGGAGAGUGGAAUUCCAUGUGUAGCGGUGAAAUGCGUAGAUAUAUGGAGGAACACCAGUGGCGAAGGCGGCUCUCCGGUCUGUAACUGACGCUGAGGCUCGACAGCGUGGGGAGCGAACAGGAUUAGAUACCCUGGUAGUCCACGCCGUAAACGAUGAGUGCUAAGUGUUGGAGGGUUUCCGCCCUUCAGUGCUGCAGCAAACGCAUUAAGCACUCCGCCUGGGGAGUACGAGCGCAAGGUUGAAACUCAAAGGAAUUUGACGGGGGCCCGCACAAGCGGUGGAGCAUGUGGUUUAAUUCGAAGCAACGCGAAGAACCCUUACCAGGUCUUGACAUCCUUUGACCACUCUAGAGAUAGAGCUUCCCCUUCGGGGGCAAAGUGACAGGUGGUGCAUGGUUGUCGUCAGCUCGUGUCGUGAGAUGUUGGGUUAAGUCCCGCAACGAGCGCAACCCUUAUUGUUAGUUGCCAUCAUUUAGUUGGGCACUCUAGCGAGACUGCCGGUGACAAACCGGAGGAAGGUGGGGAUGACGUCAAAUCAUCAUGCCCCUUAUGACCUGGGCUACACACGUGCUACAAUGGGAAGUACAACGAGUUGCGAAGUCGCGAGGCUAAGCUAAUCUCUUAAAGCUUCUCUCAGUUCGGAUUGUAGGCUGCAACUCGCCUACAUGAAGCCGGA